RNAcentral lists this ribosomal RNA (417 nucleotides) under uncultured eukaryote. Its description in RNAcentral is "SSU rRNA". It matches the Rfam family "Eukaryotic small subunit ribosomal RNA", at positions 567 to 989 of the family's 1831-position model. The record is from RNAcentral.
CCAGCAGCCGCGGUAAUUCCAGCUCCAAUAGCGUAUAUUAAAGUUGUUGCAGUUAAAAAGCUCGUAGUUGGAUUUGUGGCAGUCGCAUGCAUCCUGGCAUUCGUGCCGGUGUUUGCUAGCGUCGCCAUCCUUGGGUGGAACCUGUGUGGCAUUAGGUUGUCGUGCAGGGGAUGCCCAUCGUUUACUGUGAAAAAAUUAGAGUGUUCAAAGCAGGCUUAUGCCGUUGAAUAUAUUAGCAUGGAAUAAUAAGAUAGGACCUUGGUACUAUUUUGUUGGUUUGCGCACCAAGGUAAUGAUUAAUAGGGACAGUUGGGGGUAUUCGUAUUCCAUUGUCAGAGGUGAAAUUCUUGGAUUUUUGGAAGACGAACUACUGCGAAAGCAUUUACCAAGGAUGUUUUCAUUAAUCAAGAACGAAAG